GCCUGUUUAGCAUAGUCGUUAUUGCGCGGCACUUGUAUUCGAUCAUCCGGAUCAUGCCGAGGUCGCUGGUUCAAAUCCGGCAAUGGGCU
Puccinia graminis f. sp. tritici is the source of this 89-nucleotide transfer RNA. It matches the Rfam family "tRNA". From Rfam's summary of the family: Transfer RNA (tRNA) molecules are approximately 80 nucleotides in length. Their secondary structure includes four short double-helical elements and three loops (D, anti-codon, and T loops). The record is from Rfam. NCBI's taxonomy places the organism in Eukaryota, Fungi, Basidiomycota, Pucciniomycetes, Pucciniales, Pucciniaceae.